RNAcentral lists this ribosomal RNA (2828 nucleotides) under Phocaeicola vulgatus ATCC 8482. RNAcentral's name for it is "partial 23S ribosomal RNA". It matches the Rfam family "Bacterial large subunit ribosomal RNA". Lineage: Bacteria; Pseudomonadati; Bacteroidota; Bacteroidia; Bacteroidales; Bacteroidaceae. The record is from RNAcentral.
AAGGGCGCAUGGCGGAUGCCUUGGCUCUCGGAGGCGAUGAAGGACGUGAUAAGCUGCGAUAAGCUUUGGGGAGGUGCAAAUGACCUUUGAUCCAGAGAUUUCCGAAUGGGACAACCCAAUAUCUUGAAGAGGUAUUAUCCAACGUUGUUGGAGGCUAACGCAGGGAACUGAAACAUCUUAGUACCUGCAGGAAAAGAAAAUAAACAAUGAUUCCCCCAGUAGUGGCGAGCGAACGGGGAACAGCCCAAACCAUCCAUGUUACGGCAUGGGUGGGGUUGUAGGACUACGCCGUUGCAUGAAGACAUCAGAGAAGAACUUUCUGGAAAGAAAGACCAUAGAGCAUGACAGUUGCGUAUUCGAAUGUUGUCGAAGCAUAGUAGUAUCCUGAGUAGCGCGGAGCACGAGGAAUUCUGCGUGAAUCUGCCGGGACCAUCCGGUAAGGCUAAAUACUCCCGAGAGACCGAUAGCGAACCAGUACCGUGAGGGAAAGGUGAAAAGCACUUCGAACAGAAGAGUGAAAUAGUUCCUGAAACCGUGCGCCUACAAGCGGUCGGAGCUCGUUAAUGAGUGACGGCGUGCCUUUUGCAUAAUGAACCUACGAGUUGCCUUUGCCGGCAAGGUUAAGUGUGACGACACACGUAUCCGAAGCGAAAGCGAGUCUGAACAGGGCGUAUAGUCGGCAGUGGCAGACGCGAAACCAAGUGAUCUACCCUUGGCCAGGUUGAAGGCUGGGUAACACCAGCUGGAGGACCGCACCAAUAAGCGUUGAAAAGCUUCUGGAUGAGCUGAGGGUAGGGGUGAAAGGCUAAUCAAACUUGGAGAUAGCUCGUACUCCCCGAAAUGCAUUUAGGUGCAGCCUUGCGGGUUACUGAUGUGAGGUAGAGCGACUGAUAAGAUGCGAGGGCUUCACCGCCUAUCAAGUCUUGACAAACUCCGAAUGCGCAUCAGUUCUACCGCAGGAGUGAGGGCAUGGGUGCUAAGGUCCGUGCCCGAGAGGAGAAGAAUCCGGACCACCUGCUAAGGUCCCGAAAUGACAGCUAAGUUAAACUAACGAAGUCUGACUGCUAAGACAGCUAGGAUGUUGGCUUGGAAGCAGCCAUUCAUUUAAAGAGUGCGUAACAGCUCACUAGUCGAGGAGUCGGGCGUGGAUAAUAAUCGGGUAUUAAGUUGUCUACCGAAGCAGUGGGAUCAUUAAUAUGAUCGGUAGGGGAGCAUUCCAGUCAGCGUCGAAGGCGUACCGUGAGGUAUUCUGGAGCGUCUGGAAAAGCAAAUGUAGGUAUAAGUAACGAUAAAGGGGGCGGGAAACCCCCUCGCCGAAAGACUAAGGUUUCCUGAUCAACGCUAAUCGGAUCAGGGUCAGUCGGGUCCUAAGGCUCAGCCGAACGGCGAUGCCGAUGGCAGAAACGGUUAAUAUUCCGUUACUACCUUCAGGAGUGACGUGGAGACGCAGUAGUGACAGUGCCGCCAUCUGACGGAAUAGAUGGUUGAAGGGUGUAGGAGUCGAUCAUGGCAGGCAAAUCCACCAUGAGAUCCGAACCUGAUAGUAUGCCGCGUCCUUCGGGACAAGGCAAUAGUGCGCGUAAGCAUGCUGCCGAGAAAAUCCGCUAAACUUAAUCCUGGAGGUACCCGUACCGCAAACGGACACACGUAGUCGGGAUGAAUAUUCUAAGGCGCUUGAGUGAUUCACGGUUAAGGAACUAGGCAAACUGACCCUGUAACUUCGGGAUAAAGGGUCCCUACCCUUUUAUGGGAGGGCGCAGAGAAUCGGUCCAGGCAACUGUUUAACAAAAACACAGGGCUGUGCCAAAUCGAAAGAUCCAGUAUACAGCCUGACACCUGCCCGGUGCUGGAAGGUUAAGAGGAGAUGUCAUCGAUAAGAGAAGCGUUGAAUUGAAGCCCCAGUAAACGGCGGCCGUAACUAUAACGGUCCUAAGGUAGCGAAAUUCCUUGUCGGGUAAGUUCCGACCUGCACGAAUGGUGUAAUGAUCUGGACGCUGUCUCAACCGUGAGCUCAGUGAAAUUGUAGUAUCGGUGAAGAUGCCGAUUACCCGCGAUGGGACGAAAAGACCCCGUGAACCUUUACUAUAGCUUAUCAUUGAAUCUGGGCACGUGAUGUGUAGGAUAGGUCGGAGGCUUUGAAGCAGGUACGCCAGUAUUUGUGGAGCCGCUGUUGAAAUACGACCCUUUAUUUGUUUGGAUUCUAACCCGUGGAUACGGGGACAUUGAUUGGUGGGUAGUUUGACUGGGGUGGUCGCCUCCAAAAGCGUAACGGAGGCUUCUAAAGGUGCCCUCCGGCCGAUUGGUAACCGGCCUUAGAGUGUAAUGGCAUAAGGGCGCUUGACUGGGAGACUAACAAGUCGAUCAGGUAGGAAACUAGAGCAUAGUGAUCCGGUGUUUCCGUAUGGAAGGGACAUCGCUCAAAGGAUAAAAGGUACUCCGGGGAUAACAGGCUGAUCCCUCCCAAGAGCUCAUAUCGACGGAGUGGUUUGGCACCUCGAUGUCGGCUCGUCACAUCCUGGGGCUGGAGAAGGUCCCAAGGGUUGGGCUGUUCGCCCAUUAAAGUGGCACGCGAGCUGGGUUCAGAACGUCGUGAGACAGUUCGGUCUCUAUCUAUCGUGGGCGUAUGAAAUUUGCGUGGCUCUGACACUAGUACGAGAGGACCGUGUUGGACAGACCUCUGGUUUGCCGGUUGUGCCGCCAGGUGCAUUGCCGGGUAUCUAAGUCUGGAUCGGAUAAGUGCUGAAAGCAUCUAAGUACGAAGCCGGCCACAAGAUUAGAUUUCUCAGGGUCGUUGUAGACUACGACGUUGAUAGGAUGCAGGUGUAAAG